RNAcentral lists this transfer RNA (75 nucleotides) under Dehalococcoidales bacterium. RNAcentral describes it as "tRNA-Gln". It matches the Rfam family "tRNA". From Rfam's summary of the family: Transfer RNA (tRNA) molecules are approximately 80 nucleotides in length. Their secondary structure includes four short double-helical elements and three loops (D, anti-codon, and T loops). Further hydrogen bonds mediate the characteristic L-shaped molecular structure. tRNAs have two regions of fundamental functional importance: the anti-codon, which is responsible for specific mRNA codon recognition, and the 3' end, to which the tRNAs corresponding amino acid is attached (by aminoacyl-tRNA synthetases). tRNAs cope with the degeneracy of the genetic code in two manners: having more than one tRNA (with a specific anti-codon) for a particular amino acid; and 'wobble' base-pairing, i.e. permitting non-standard base-pairing at the 3rd anti-codon position. The record is from RNAcentral. Lineage: Bacteria; Bacillati; Chloroflexota; Dehalococcoidia; Dehalococcoidales.
UGCCGGUUCGUCUAGCGGUAGGACGCCAGGUUUUGAACCUGAGAAGCGUGGGUUCGAAUCCCCGACCGGCAACCA